GAUGAACGCUGGCGGCGUGCUUAACACAUGCAAGUCGAACGAAGAGGUUUUAAAGGAGAGGCUUCGGCUUUGAAUUUGAGACAUAUCUUAGUGGCGGACGGGUGAGUAACGCGUGGGCAACCUGCCCUUUACAGGGGAAUAAUCAUUGGAAACGAUGACUAAUACCGCAUGUCCCCGAGGCAAGGCAUCUUGCUUCGGAAAAAGGAUUUAAAUCCGGUAAAGGAUGGGCCCGCGUCUGAUUAGCUAGUUGGUGGGGUAACGGCCUACCAAGGCGACGAUCAGUAGCCGACCUGAGAGGGUGAUCGGCCACAUUGGGACUGAGACACGGCCCAAACUCC
This 338-nucleotide ribosomal RNA is filed under the name uncultured Clostridia bacterium. RNAcentral's name for it is "bacterial SSU rRNA". It matches the Rfam family "Bacterial small subunit ribosomal RNA", at positions 28 to 339 of the family's 1533-position model. The record is from RNAcentral. Lineage: Bacteria; Bacillati; Bacillota; Clostridia.